GUUUCGGAUUAUUGGGCGUAAGCGCGCGUAGGCGGUUUUUUAAGUCUGAUGUGAAAGCCCACGGCUCAACCGUGGAGGGUCAUUGGAAACUGGAAAACUUGAGUGCAGAAGAGGAAAGUGGAAUUCCAUGUGUAGCGGUGAAAUGCGCAGAGAUAUGGAGGAACACCAGUGGCGAAGGCGACUUUCUGGUCUGUAACUGACGCUGAUGUGCGAAAGCGUGGGGAUCAAACAGGAUUAGAUACCCCAGU
This 248-nucleotide ribosomal RNA is filed under the name Staphylococcus sp. RNAcentral's name for it is "partial 16S ribosomal RNA". It matches the Rfam family "Bacterial small subunit ribosomal RNA", at positions 548 to 791 of the family's 1533-position model. Lineage: Bacteria; Bacillati; Bacillota; Bacilli; Caryophanales; Staphylococcaceae. The record is from RNAcentral.